AGUGAACGCUGGCGGCGUGCCUAACACAUGCAAGUCGAACGGACGAAGAGAGCUUGCUCUCCUAGUUAGUGGCGCACGGGUGAGUAACACGUAGCUAACCUGCCCCAUAGUAAGGGACAACAGUUGGAAACGACUGCUAAUACCUUAUACUCCUUCUCUACCUAAGUAGAGUCGGGAAAGUUUUUUCGCUACGGGAUGGGGCUGCGGCCUAUCAGCUUGUUGGGGAGGUAAUGGCUCACCAAGGCUAUGACGGGUAGCUGGUCUGAGAGGAUGAUCAGCCACAUUGGAACUGGGACACGGUCCAAACUCCUACGGGAGGCAGCAGUGGGGAAUUUUGGACAAUGGGGGAAACCCUGAUCCAGCAAUGCCGCGUGAGUGAAGAAGGCCUUCGGGUUGUAAAGCUCUUUUAUCAGGGAAGAAACGGUGGGGGCUAAUAUCCCCUGCCAAUGACGGUACCUGAAGAAUAAGCACCGGCUAACUACGUGCCAGCCGCCGCCGUAA
This 501-nucleotide ribosomal RNA is filed under the name uncultured bacterium. Its description in RNAcentral is "partial 16S ribosomal RNA". It matches the Rfam family "Bacterial small subunit ribosomal RNA", at positions 29 to 523 of the family's 1533-position model. The record is from RNAcentral.